RNAcentral lists this ribosomal RNA (468 nucleotides) under uncultured bacterium. RNAcentral describes it as "partial 16S ribosomal RNA". It matches the Rfam family "Bacterial small subunit ribosomal RNA", at positions 28 to 507 of the family's 1533-position model. The record is from RNAcentral.
GACGAACGCUGGCGGCGUGCUUAACACAUGCAAGUCGAACGGAAAGGCCCUGCUUUUGUGGGGUGCUCGAGUGGCGAACGGGUGAGUAACACUUGAGUAACCUGCCCUUGACUUUGGGAUAACUUCAGGAAACUGGGGCUAAUACCGGAUAGGAGCUCCUGCUUCAUGGUGGGGGUUGGAAAGUUUCGGCGGUUGGGGAUGGACUCGCGGCUUAUCAGCUUGUUGGUGGGGUAGUGGCUUACCAAGGCUUUGACGGGUAGCCGGCCUGAGAGGGUGACCGGCCACAUUGGGACUGAGAUACGGCCCAGACUCCUACGGGAGGCAGCAGUGGGGAAUAUUGCACAAUGGGCGGAAGCCUGAUGCAGCAACGCCGCGUGCGGGAUGACGGCCUUCGGGUUGUAAACCGCUUUCGCCUGUGACGAAGCGUGAGUGACGGUAAUGGGUAAAGAAGCACCGGCUAACUACGUG